RNAcentral lists this ribosomal RNA (954 nucleotides) under uncultured bacterium. RNAcentral describes it as "bacterial SSU rRNA". It matches the Rfam family "Bacterial small subunit ribosomal RNA", at positions 8 to 962 of the family's 1533-position model. The record is from RNAcentral.
AGAGUUUGAUCCUGGCUCAGAGCGAACGCUGGCGGCGUGCUUAACACAUGCAAGUCGAGUGCGCGUUUCCGUAGCAAUACGGAAAUGGCGCACGGCGCACGGGUGCGUAACACGUGGGUAAUCUGCCCUCUGAUGGGGAAUAACCCGCCGAAAGGCGGGCUAAUACCGCAUAACAUUCCUUGGACUCCGGUUCGAGGAUUCAAAGGCGUAAGUCGUCGGAGGUGGAGCCCGCGCACGAUUAGCUAGUUGGUAGGGUAAUGGCCUACCAAGGCUAUGAUCGUUAGCUGGUCUGAGAGGAUGGCCAGCCACACUGGAACUGAGACACGGUCCAGACUCCUACGGGAGGCAGCAGUGGGGAAUCUUGCACAAUGGGCGAAAGCCUGAUGCAGCGACGCCGCGUGGGGGAUGAAGCUUCUCGGAGUGUAAACCCCUUUCGACCGGGACGAAUACCUCGCAAGAGGGGUGACGGUACCGGUAUAAGAAGCCCCGGCUAACUACGUGCCAGCAGCCGCGGUAAGACGUAGGGGGCCAGCGUUGCUCGGAAUUACUGGGUGUAAAGGGUUCGUAGGCGGUGUGGCAAGUCGGGAGUGAAAUCUCUGGGCUCAACUCAGGGGCUGCUUCCGAAACUGCCGUGCUAGAGUGUGGGAGAGGCGCGUGGAAUUGCAGGUGUAGCGGUGAAAUGCGUAGAUAUCUGCAGGAACACCCGUGGCGAAAGCGGCGCGCUGGACCACUACUGACGCUGAGGAACGAAAGCUAGGGGAGCAAACAGGAUUAGAUACCCUGGUAGUCCUAGCCCUAAACGAUCAGGACUUGGGGUGCCACCCGUUCGGGUGUCGUCCCGGAGCUAACGCGUUAAGUCCUGCACCUGGGGAGUACGGUCGCAAGACUGAAACUCAAAGGAAUUGACGGGGGCCCGCACAGCGGUGGAACAUGUGGUUCAAUUCGACGCUACGC